Molecule: ribosomal RNA, 1923 nt
Filed under: Triticum aestivum (bread wheat)
Lineage: Eukaryota; Viridiplantae; Streptophyta; Magnoliopsida; Poales; Poaceae
Description: partial small subunit ribosomal RNA
Source: RNAcentral
AUGGUGGUACCUCCUAUCACUUUGAUCUUCAAUGGCAAUGCCACCACCGCUUCUCUAUUCCCCUUAUCACACAAGAAAAAAAUGGUUGCCAAGGAGAGGAACAACAACAAAUACCCCAAGUCUUUUAGUUGUCCACUAUAUACAGCUCGUGGUUUACAUUCCAGCCUCAGGCUUUUCUGGAAAUAUCGAACAGAAGGUUGUUUUUUUCUGGGCUACAAGUACUGCUGGACGAAGAAUCUGAAAAGGAGUUCUCGCGAAUGCCCCGCUCCUAGGGUUCCCUCGCCGCCGCCGGAGCCCGUUGCCGCCGCUAGCCGGAGGCCGCUCCCCUACCCCUCCCCCUCCCCUCCCUUCCCCGUACCCCCGCAUCGCCUCCCCGAGCGAGGCGACCGGGGGCCUCUUCCCUGCUCCUAUCUAGCUCUCCUACCUCGCCCCUGCCUCGUCCCGCCGCCGCCAGCGAGCGCCGCCGGGCCUUGGCCGCGUGGUGCUGGCGGUGGCGGGCCUGCCUUUCCCUGCACGUGGCUCCCUCCUGCUCAAAGGGUGGCGGCUGGCGGCGGUGCUCCUCGGCCAUCAUCGGUGCGGCCCGUCGGUGGUGGUGUCGCGGGCCCGGUGGCUCUCGAUGCCGCGCCAAAUCUGGGCCCAUUUGGGCCCAUCUGGGUUGGGGCGGGCCGAUGGCUUGGCGUUCGGCGGCGACGUUCCUUGGUGGUGGCGUGGUGGCGAUGGUCUCAGGCGGUGAGGACUUUGUUGGUCGGCGAGCUUCAGCGUGGUGACAGGACUGUCCGGGUCCACGUGGGCCCAACCGGGCAGUCGAGGCCCGGCAGGUCCUCGUCGCCGCAUCCGGUUGGCUCCGCUGUGGCAAUGGAGGUUGUCCCCUCCCUCCGGUCGAGUUGUGGUUGCUCCCGUGGCUGCUGCCUUCUCUUCCCUCCAUAUCUCAUGUUGACAGCUCCAGUGAGGUGGUGGGGGCUAUCCGGUAUUCAUGGUGGCACAAGCUGGUGGGUGGCUGAGGGGGUGGGAAACCCUAGAACUUGUUCGGGCAACAGUGGCAGCAUCGUCGCAUUCCUUCUUGAAGGUGUUGAUUGGGGCGCGGCGCUUCGGGAUGCUGGGAGGGUGGUGCUUUGGAGUAGCCUGCGCAAAGUAGGAGGACAGCGAGUAGGAGGCUUGGCCUUAAAUGGCUCCAGCUGUUUGCGCGAGCGAGAAAGGAUAUGGACGAACAGAGAAAGCUGGGAGGAGGAGGAGAGAGAGGUCGAUGAGCAGCAGAGGAGCGCAGUCAAACCGGCAGUUUCACUUCGGUGCGAAAAACAGCAUAUGGAGCGACGGCGAGCCGGAGGUCACACAGCCGAGCAGCAAGAUCGCUCUUCCGUCCUGCUCCUCCAGUCCUCUCCUCCAGUGCUCUCCUCCGGCCAGCGUGAGCUUGAGAGAGGUUGGUACCUGCAGGUAGCCAUGGACGGCCACCGCCGCGCGCCGCGCCAGAUUCUGGUGCUCGAGGAGGCGUUCAAGAAAUGUCCCCACCCCGACCAGACUCAGGUCGCAAAUCUCAGCCGCGAAACCGGCAUGGAGGUCCAUCAGAUCCAAUACUGGUUCCAGACUCGGCGGGCGCAGAUCAAGCCAAGGCCCCCUUCGGGUUUGUAUCGUGUGCAUCUGUGGCUCUUGAGCCUUGGACCCGAGAUAGGGAGCACCAACUUGGUAGGCUGGUGUCUGAUGGCUCCUAUGUCACACUUGCUUGCUGCGGAUAUCAGAGAGCACUUGCAUAACAAGAGGUAUUUCAUUGUAAUCGACACGAUAUGGAAACAGAUCACUGGAGUAUCAUGGAAUUUGAAUUUUGGUGCAAGUAGCAGAGUAAUGGUGACUACCACUAUGCAGUCAGUAUUUAACGCUUGCAACUCUAGCAAGGGCUAUGUGCAAAAAGUAAGAAGACCAGGUAACUAA